Molecule: ribosomal RNA, 231 nt
Filed under: uncultured bacterium
Lineage: Bacteria
Description: partial 16S ribosomal RNA
Rfam family: Bacterial small subunit ribosomal RNA
Source: RNAcentral
UGAGCAACCUGCCCUUGACACUGGAAUAACAGUUGGAAACAGCUGCUAAUACCGGAUAUGACCUCUGACGACAUCGUCUGGAGGUGGAAAGCUCCGGCGGUCAAGGAUGGGCUCGCGGCCUAUCAGCUUGUUGGUGAGGUAACGGCUCACCAAGGCUUCGACGGGUAGCCGGCCUGGAGAGGGCGACCGGCCACACUGGGACUGAGAUACGGCCCAGACUCCGUAGGGAGG